UGCAUAUCAAAAAGCGGAGGAAAAGAAACCAACAGGGAUUGCCCUAGUAACGGCGAGUGAACAGGCAAGAGCUCAGAUUUGAAAGGCACUUUUGUGCCGUUGUAUUCUGAAGUUAGGGUCCUGAGAAACGAUGCUUAAGUCUUCUGGAAAGGAGCGCCAUGGAGGGUGAUAGCCCCGUCUAGCAUUGACCUCAUAUAGGAUCUUAACAUGGAGUCGAGUUGUUUGGGAAUGCAGCUCAAAUGGGUGGUAUGCUCCAUCUAAAGCUAAAUAUCUGCGAGAGACCGAUAGUAAACAAGUACUGUGAGGGAAAGAUGAAAAGAACUUUGAAAAGAGAGUGAAAAAGUACGUGAAAUUGUUGAAAUGGAAGGGUAGGCCGCUAACCAUGUAGAGCCGUGUUUGGGGGGAAGAUAAAUGCUGUAGAAUGUAGCUCCUCGGAGUAUUAUAGAUGCAGUUCAUAUUCCCACCCGAGCGCGAGGAUCUCAGGUUCUACUAAAUGGUGGUCUACCACCCGUCUUGAAACAACGGACCA
Molecule: ribosomal RNA, 529 nt
Filed under: Starmerella bacillaris
Lineage: Eukaryota; Fungi; Ascomycota; Dipodascomycetes; Dipodascales; Trichomonascaceae
Description: partial large subunit ribosomal RNA
Rfam family: Eukaryotic large subunit ribosomal RNA
Source: RNAcentral